RNAcentral lists this ribosomal RNA (523 nucleotides) under uncultured bacterium. RNAcentral describes it as "partial 16S ribosomal RNA". It matches the Rfam family "Bacterial small subunit ribosomal RNA", at positions 355 to 895 of the family's 1533-position model. The record is from RNAcentral.
UGGGGAAUAUUGGACAAUGGGGGCAACCCUGAUCCAGCAAUGCCGCGUGUGUGAAGAAGGUCUUCGGAUUGUAAAGCACUUCCGACGGGGACGAUGAUGACGGUACCCGUAGAAGAAGCCCCGGCUAACUUCGUGCCAGCAGCCGCGGUAAUACGAAGGGGGCUAGCGUUGCUCGGAAUGACUGGGCGUAAAGGGCGUGUAGGCGGUUUACACAGUCAGAUGUGAAAUCCCCGGGCUUAACCUGGGAGCUGCAUUUGAUACGUGUAGACUAGAGUGUGAGAGAGGGUUGUGGAAUUCCCAGUGUAGAGGUGAAAUUCGUAGAUAUUGGGAAGAACACCGGUGGCGAAGGCGGCAACCUGGCUCAUGACUGAUGCUGAGGCGCGAAAGCGUGGGGAGCAAACAGGAUUAGAUACCCUGGUAGUCCACGCUGUAAACGAUGUGUGCUAGAUGUUGGGUAACUUUGUUAUUCAGUGUCGCAGUUAACGCGUUAAGCACACCGCCUGGGGAGUACGGCCGCAAGGUU